This 215-nucleotide small nucleolar RNA is filed under the name Neogobius melanostomus (round goby). Its description in RNAcentral is "Small nucleolar RNA U3 (ENSNMLG00000022923.1)". It matches the Rfam family "Small nucleolar RNA U3". From Rfam's summary of the family: Small nucleolar RNAs (snoRNAs) are involved in the processing and modification of rRNA in the nucleolus. There are two main classes of snoRNAs: the box C/D class, and the box H/ACA class. The record is from Rfam by way of RNAcentral. Lineage: Eukaryota; Metazoa; Chordata; Actinopteri; Gobiiformes; Gobiidae.
AAGACUAUACUUUCAGGGAUCAUUUCUAUAGUUCUUGACUUGAGAAAUGUGUUUCUAAAGUGUUUGGUCUCGCUAACCACGAUGAUGAGACGUGAUGUUCUCCUCUGAGCGUGAAGCUGACAGGAAAAAAUGAUUUAUUUCAUAUGUUUUCUGUCAUUGAUGAACGUUCACUGUUCCCUCGUGGAGCUUUGAGGGGAGGACAUGAUCAGAGUGGU